Molecule: ribosomal RNA, 1297 nt
Filed under: Brassica rapa (field mustard)
Lineage: Eukaryota; Viridiplantae; Streptophyta; Magnoliopsida; Brassicales; Brassicaceae
Description: SSU rRNA
Rfam family: Eukaryotic small subunit ribosomal RNA
Source: RNAcentral
CAAUGUAUGGAUAUUGCUUGAAUUAAUAAAGUAAUUGUUUUAUAUGCGCUUCAUGAGUACUCUGAUAUUUGACUAGUCCGGUCUAACACAACGUUAGGUCGAGGUACGGGUUGAAAAGCCUUAGGCCUUAAUCUAACGGAAAACGCUAACUCUAGGUACGAGUUUCAAAGCCUUAUGCCUUGACGCAGCGGGACGAGUUAGUGGAUGAACUGGUCUAGGUCGUGGAGUAAAGUUUGUGACUCUGACCGGAUCAUCCCUAGCCCGUCACGUAGCGCUUCCGGACCAUGGUGAUGGGUUGGACGGUCAGUCAUGUUCUUGUUUGAUUGUUGGCUGGCGGAUGGCCUUUCAUCUCCAACCCUUGGUGUGGGUCAUCCGUCGGUCAUGUUCUUGUUUGAUUGUUGGCCGGUGGGUCGACCUAUGCUUAGGACGGUUCGGGGGUGUUACAGUCGGGGGCAUUCUUAUUUCAUAGUCAGAGUUGAAAUUCUUGGAUUUAUGAAAGACGAACAACUGCGAAAGCAUUUGCCAAGGAUGUUUUCAUUAAUCAAGAACGAAAGUUGGGGGAUCGAAGACGAUCAGAUACCGUCCUAGUCUCAUCCAUAAACGAUGCCGACCAGGGAUCAGCGGAUGUUGGACUCCGCUGGCACCUUAUGAGAAAUCAAAGUUUUUGGGUUCCGGGCGGAGUAUGGUCGCAAGGCUGAAACAUAAAGGAAUUGACGGAAGGGCACCACCAGGAGUGGAGCCUGCGGCUUAAUUUGACUCAACACGGGGAAACUUACCAGGUCCAAACAUAGUAAGGAUUGACAGACUGAGAGCUCUUUCUUGAUUCUAUGGGUGGUGGUGCAUGGCCGUUCUUAGUUGGUGGAGCGAUUUGUCUGGUUAAUUCCGUUAACUAACGAGACCUCAGCCUGCUAACUAGCUACGUGGAGGCAUCCCUUCAUCGGAGACUAUGGCCAUUUAGGCCAAAGGAAGUUUGAGGCAAUAACAGGUCUGUGAUUCCCUUAGAUGUUCUGGGCCGCACGCGUACUACACUGAUGUAAUUAUCGAGUUCACACCUUGACCGACAGGCCCGGGUAAUCUUUGAAAUUUCAUCGUGAUGGGGAUAGAUCAUUGCAAUUGUUGGUCUUCAACGAGGAAUUCCUAGCAAUUCAUCAGCUCCCAUUAACUACGCCCCUGCCCUUUGUACACACCACCGUCGCCCUACCAAUUGAAUGAUCCGGUGAAAUGUUCGGAUCAAGGGCGAUGGGUGGUGUAACACCCUGAUCCGGCCGACAAGGCCAUGGUCGAAGCCUUACAUCAC